Molecule: unclassified non-coding RNA, 21 nt
Filed under: Chlamydomonas reinhardtii
Lineage: Eukaryota; Viridiplantae; Chlorophyta; Chlorophyceae; Chlamydomonadales; Chlamydomonadaceae
Description: small RNA Cre_2225
Source: RNAcentral
UACGGAAGACGAACAUCUGCG